Molecule: transfer RNA, 72 nt
Filed under: Enterococcus dongliensis
Lineage: Bacteria; Bacillati; Bacillota; Bacilli; Lactobacillales; Enterococcaceae
Description: tRNA-OTHER
Rfam family: tRNA
About the family: Transfer RNA (tRNA) molecules are approximately 80 nucleotides in length.
Source: RNAcentral
UGACGUGUAGCUCAGUUGGUAGAGCAGCGAACUAUAAUUCGCAGGUCGCCGGUUCGAAUCCGGUCACGUCAA